Molecule: ribosomal RNA, 253 nt
Filed under: uncultured bacterium
Lineage: Bacteria
Description: partial 16S ribosomal RNA
Rfam family: Bacterial small subunit ribosomal RNA
Source: RNAcentral
GACAGAGGAUGCAAGCGUUAUCCGAAAUUAUUGGGCGUAAAGCGUCUGUAGGUGGUUUAAAAAGUACACUGUUAAAGAUUAAGGCUUAACCUUAGAAAAGCAGAGUAAACUUUUAAGCUAGAGUUUGGUAGGGGUAAAGGGAAUUUCCGGUGGAGCGGUGAAAUGCGAUGAUCUCGGGAGGAACACCAAAAGCGAAAGCACUUUGCUGGGCCAAGACUGACACUAAGAGACGAAAGCAAGGGGAGCAAAUGGG